AGAACUUUGAGAGUCCUCACAGAAGUAUUCCACAGUGAAAUGUUUAUUUGAAUAGAGAAAGCUGAAGUCUCUCCUCUGCCUCUUUUUGGCAGAAAGACGAUUGACAAAGCUUAUUGGAGAAGAAAUUUUCCUAGCAGGACCUAUCCAAGCAGCAGUAAGGAUUACCCCUGUCCCAUAUUUGACCACAGUUCAUGUCUAGCAGGAGAGCAAAACAGUGAGGAUCCUUGGGCAAAGAAGAGAAGUAAAUCAAGGAAAAAGAAAAAAGAAAAAAAAAAAGGAGUUCAGAAAACAUCCCAGUCUGGGGAGAGCACUCAAGUCACCUGAAGUGAGUCCCCUGCUGAGGCUUCACACAUAACAAGAUCAGCAGAGAGCACUGUCUUUGGGACACAGAUGUGAGAUGGGUCAACCAGCCUGAAGGCAAAGCAGAGUCCAUCUGGAAGGUUUGACAAUUUUCCCAGCCAACUGCUUCAAGGCUCUCAGUCUAAACUUACCUGAAAACUUAAGCCUAAAGGCACUUCAGAAUUUAACAGCUGAUUCUGUCUCAAAUGUGUAGGCUGACAAAGAUAUUUCUAGUAGCUGAGCUACUUUGAGUUGCAAUAAAAAAUUCAGGCUUCUCAAAAUUUCAUUGUAGAAGGAAUCCUGUCAGCUUUGUGGGAUAAAGCAUUUGCAGUUGUAUUUAAAAAUAAUGCAGUGGUGCCACAUUGUUGAUUUCUCUGGUUUACUCUUUGAAAAGCAAUGAAAUGUUGCCCUCCAUUUAGAACAAUAGGAAGAGUACACCUCCUCUCUUUCUCCUUUUCUCCAGCAGUGUAUCACAAGCAUUUUACAUACUUGGUCACACUCCUGUCAUUCAGUGAAAUGGAAACAUCUAUCUACCUUAUUUUAUUUAAACUUACUUUCUGAUUAAGACGUGUCAAAAAAUGUGUCAUACAUCCUGCUGUCCAUAUCAACGCUGAAAGGGUGUAAUUUAUAUCAGUUCUUGUUCCUUUUCACCAGGAAAGAGUUGGGAGAGCGAAAGAAUUUGGUUUAACCGGGUUAAGAAAGUGUCCUUAAAAAACAGUGCUUUAUAGAAUCCAUGCAAUUGUACUGAUGUAUCUCAUUUGGUCAGUGUGGUGUUGUGUAUAGAUGCUUUGUGAACAUUUUUGAUCUUACGGCAUAAUGUAGAGCAAGAAUUAUAAAACUAUUUUAUACAGCCU
Molecule: long non-coding RNA, 1193 nt
Filed under: Gallus gallus (chicken)
Lineage: Eukaryota; Metazoa; Chordata; Aves; Galliformes; Phasianidae
Description: lncRNA (ENSGALG00010024217.1)
Source: RNAcentral